GCGUCGGUACCCCAGUGGCUAGAGGGACUGGUCUUAGAAACCAGGUGUCGUGGGUUCGAAUCCCACUCGACGUAC
RNAcentral lists this transfer RNA (75 nucleotides) under Streptomyces phage Cross. RNAcentral describes it as "tRNA-Leu". It matches the Rfam family "tRNA". Rfam says of the family: Transfer RNA (tRNA) molecules are approximately 80 nucleotides in length. Lineage: Duplodnaviria; Heunggongvirae; Uroviricota; Caudoviricetes; Stanwilliamsviridae. RNAcentral also lists the same sequence under 8 other names. The record is from RNAcentral.